AUGACGGCAAUAGUUCAAUACACAUUUGACAAGAUGAAUGUGUACUUUCUAAAGUACUCAAUGGAAACGGAUGCACAGAUAGCGGGUGAGAACCCGCGCAAGUACAAGUACAAGUUCCCACCCAAGGUUGAUGAAUGGUUGGUAUUUCAAUCACGGAAGGCGGACUCAGAAGAAGCUAUAUUAUAUGACAAUGAAGAGUGGAAGUAUGAAGUGAAAGAGCCAGGAGGAACCACAAACGAUGGCCGCCAACAUGGAGGUCGUGCUUUCAAGGUGUCGUUAACACAAUGUGAUUGCUCUUACGGGAGACCAUUGUUGCUUCAUCUUCCAUGCUCACACUUGUAUACCGCCGGUCGCGUUAGGAAUGUGGACAUCAAUCACCCACGCGCCGUGAGGGAGUCGGAGUUCUCAAUCAUGACGGUCAAGAAAACAUGGGCUCCCCGCUUUCACCCAUAUCUUGACCAAUCACAAUGGCCGGAGUACCAUGGUGUUCAACUAUGGCCGGAUCCGGAGUUGAAGGUUGUUAAAUAG
This 528-nucleotide ribosomal RNA is filed under the name Triticum aestivum (bread wheat). RNAcentral's name for it is "partial small subunit ribosomal RNA". Lineage: Eukaryota; Viridiplantae; Streptophyta; Magnoliopsida; Poales; Poaceae. The record is from RNAcentral.